AUGAGACCGCAUUGAGGAUGGAAAGCACAUACAAGAUGCUCGAACAGAAACACAUGAUUUAUAAACUUCUGUGGUGGUCAGUUCAAGGUCAGUAUGGAUGGCCUGUCUCUGUAAAGUAUUGAUCCUGGGUGUGUCUGUGAGGGUGGUGCCAGAGCGUCGGACACCGUGUCUGUGGUCCAGGAACGAGGCUGAUCCUUGUUGGAUCCUGAGUCUGCAUUUGGAAGUAGGGGGAAGCAUUGUCCUG
This 244-nucleotide long non-coding RNA is filed under the name Homo sapiens (human). RNAcentral's name for it is "non-protein coding lnc-TSTD2-7:1". The record is from RNAcentral. Lineage: Eukaryota; Metazoa; Chordata; Mammalia; Primates; Hominidae.